GCUUAUGUGAGGCAGUUUGAUCUAGUGGUUAGAGAAUGGGAGUCUAGGAACCUUCAGCUCUGCCCCUGGGGCCUUGGGACAGAAGACCUAAGGAGUGAGGAGCAGCAGAAGAUAAGCAUCUAAGAGCUAUUCUGCACUACACAAGAGCAUGGCCAGGGAGAAGAUGGGCAUCGCAGCUCUGCAAUGGCCCGCUCCAGCCAGACACUGGUUAUUAGAGCUGACUGAGGAACGGG
This is a long non-coding RNA of Mauremys reevesii (Reeves's turtle), 233 nucleotides long. RefSeq lists it as uncharacterized. Lineage: Eukaryota; Metazoa; Chordata; Testudines; Geoemydidae. The transcript has 3 exons. The record is from RefSeq and is a predicted model, not a curated record.